RNAcentral lists this small RNA (174 nucleotides) under Gopherus agassizii (Agassiz's desert tortoise). RNAcentral's name for it is "TUC338 (ENSGAGG00000002346.1)". Lineage: Eukaryota; Metazoa; Chordata; Testudines; Testudinidae. The record is from RNAcentral.
CCAAGAGUGCUGGAGACUGAAGUCCUUUCUUUAUUCGCAGAACAAGUACAGUUAGACUGCCCUCAUGCUGCCCAUUCUCCCACUGCCCUGCUGAUGUUUCUCAUCCUUGACUAGAAGGAACCACCUUAAGGGGUGUGAGAAUUAGUCCCCUUCAGUGCUUGAGUGGACACCAGU